CCUACGGGGGGCAGCAGUGAGGAAUAUUGGUCAAUGGUCGGGAGACUGAACCAGCCAAGCCGCGUGAGGGAGGAAGGUACAGAGUAUCGUAAACCUCUUUUGUCAGGGAACAAAGGCGGGGACGUGUCCCCGGAUGAGUGUACCUGAAGAAAAAGCAUCGGCUAACUCCGUGCCAGCAGCCGCGGUAAUACGGAGGAUGCGAGCGUUAUCCGGAUUUAUGGGGUUUAAAGGGUGCGGAGGCGGUCUGUUAAGUGAGCGGUCAAAGCCCGGGGCUCAGCCCCGGCCCGCCGUUGAAACUGGCAGUCUCGAGUUGGAGAGAAGUAUGCGGAAUGCGCGGGGUAGCGGUGAAAUGCAUAGAUAUCGCGCAGAACUCCGAUUGCGAAGGCAGCAUGCCGGCUCCACACUGACGCUGAGGCACGAAAGCGUGGGUAUCGAACAGGAUUAGAUACCCGAGUAGUC
This 459-nucleotide ribosomal RNA is filed under the name uncultured bacterium. RNAcentral's name for it is "partial 16S ribosomal RNA". It matches the Rfam family "Bacterial small subunit ribosomal RNA", at positions 338 to 795 of the family's 1533-position model. The record is from RNAcentral.